CCUCGCCAGGGCUUUCUCCACAGAGGCGGCCAUAGCCGCAUUAAUCAAUGCCUGCAAGUUUUGCUCCUGCACAGCGGCUUCCAUGAUGCCUGAGAUACGGUACGUGAUACCUAAGGAGACAGAGAACAGGUAUCAGUAGCAGGCAGUAGGGGCAGCACCCCUAGUAUGGCAGAGGCAAGUAUCAACGCAUGCGAGCUCAACAAAUCUUGUUCCAGGGUAAGGAGCCGUCAGG
Non-coding RNA from Pelobates cultripes (western spadefoot toad), 232 nucleotides. Lineage: Eukaryota; Metazoa; Chordata; Amphibia; Anura; Pelobatidae. The record is from the annotation of a GenBank genome assembly.